GACGAACGCUGGCGGCGUGCUUAACACAUGCGAGUGGAGCGACGAACCCUUCGGGGGGCAAAGCCGCGAACGGGUGAGUAACACGUGGGUAACCUGCCCCGAUGACUGGGACAACCCGGGGAAACCCGGGCUAAUACCGGAUGAUGUGCACACACUUAAGUGUGUUCACUAAAGGUAGCUUCGGCUUCCGCAUUGGGAGGGGCCCGCGGCCCAUUAGCUUGCUGGUGAGGUAACGGCUCACCAAGGCAACGAUGGGUAGCUGGUCUGAGAGGACGAUCAGCCGCACUGGGACUGAGACACGGCCCAGACUCCUACGGGAGGCAGCGGUGGGGAAUCUUGCGCAAUGCGCGAAAGCGUGACGCAGCAACGCCGCGUGAGGGAAGACGGCCUUCGGGUUGUAAACCUCUUUCAGUAGGGACGAAGGCCGGCCGGUGAAUAGCCGUGUCGGUUGACGGUACCUUCAGAAGAAGCUCCGGCUAACUACGUGCCAGCCGCCGCGGUAA
RNAcentral lists this ribosomal RNA (503 nucleotides) under uncultured bacterium. RNAcentral's name for it is "partial 16S ribosomal RNA". It matches the Rfam family "Bacterial small subunit ribosomal RNA", at positions 28 to 523 of the family's 1533-position model. The record is from RNAcentral.